This 59-nucleotide transfer RNA is filed under the name Hypoplectrus gemma (blue hamlet). RNAcentral describes it as "tRNA-Ala". It matches the Rfam family "tRNA", at positions 1 to 61 of the family's 71-position model. Rfam says of the family: Transfer RNA (tRNA) molecules are approximately 80 nucleotides in length. Lineage: Eukaryota; Metazoa; Chordata; Actinopteri; Perciformes; Serranidae. The record is from RNAcentral.
AAGGCUUUAGCUUAAUUAAAGUAUCUGUUUUGCAUACAGAAGAUGUGGGUUAGAGCCCC